UGGGGAAUAUUGCACAAUGGGGGAAACCCUGAUGCAGCGACGCCGCGUGAGCGAAGAAGUAUUUCGGUAUGUAAAGCUCUAUCAGCAGGGAAGAAAAUGACGGUACCUGACUAAGAAGCCCCGGCAAAUUUACGGCC
This 137-nucleotide ribosomal RNA is filed under the name uncultured bacterium. RNAcentral describes it as "partial 16S ribosomal RNA". It matches the Rfam family "Bacterial small subunit ribosomal RNA", at positions 355 to 509 of the family's 1533-position model. The record is from RNAcentral.